GGGGGGGACAGAAUAGAAACAACUCUUGAGGAAGAAAAUUCAAGAGAAAUUCAUCGGUUACCAAAAAACGAAGCGAUCUGAGGUAUAGGUGGUGAGCCCUCUAGUAAGGGUAAGGAUAUCGUACCUGAGGACCAGGAGUAGGAGUACUCUCGUUAUGUAAUUGUUGCUCACAAGGGAGGCGGAGAACUGAUGCUAGAGCCUUGCCAGGUUUUGGUUGACAUUCCCGAUAAGGUAUGUCUAUCGGGACAUCGCGGCAGUUGUCAUGGGCUCGAAAAG
Theobroma cacao (cacao) is the source of this 276-nucleotide non-coding RNA. The record is from RefSeq and is a predicted model, not a curated record. NCBI's taxonomy places the organism in Eukaryota, Viridiplantae, Streptophyta, Magnoliopsida, Malvales, Malvaceae.